UGUUUUCUGAGAAAAUCACCUGCCUUCAGUUCAAAAGGUGUCUGGUGUCCUCAGGCUUUGGACACUAACACUUACACGAUUGCCGAAGGACGCCAAAUUAAUUUUGUUUCAGGAGCUCUUUCUUGCACACUUGUAAGCAAAGGAAAGGCAGGGAGCUUAGAACCUGAAUGUAUUUUCAUGCUAGACCUGCUGCUAGUGUGUGUCAUUAAAUGAAAGACUAAAGAUCCA
Molecule: long non-coding RNA, 228 nt
Organism: Gymnogyps californianus (California condor)
Lineage: Eukaryota; Metazoa; Chordata; Aves; Accipitriformes; Cathartidae
Exons: 2
Source: RefSeq, a predicted model, not a curated record